Etheostoma cragini (Arkansas darter) is the source of this 1262-nucleotide long non-coding RNA. RefSeq lists it as uncharacterized. Lineage: Eukaryota; Metazoa; Chordata; Actinopteri; Perciformes; Percidae. The transcript is spliced from 2 exons. The record is from RefSeq and is a predicted model, not a curated record.
CCUGGACAGAGCACACUAGAGACAGCCGUUGUACACAAGGCAGGCAGGAUAGGUUCACUUCUUAAAUAAUGUUAGCCAACGUCUGCCUGCCUUAUUUUUUUUACCUGCAACCUAAGAGUUUGUAGAAUAGAACAGGAACUCUGAAUCGCUAGUUACAUGACACAGUCUUCAGUUCAUUUAGAAGUUUGGCAGAUUAGUGAGUAACACCAAAUAAUUGUUGCAAAAUAUUUCUGCAGAGGGCAGGUUUUCUCUUAACAGGAGUUUUGACAUGUCCAGGUCAUCAAACUUCUGCAUCCAAAUAGUCAUUGUACAGCCUUUACGAUACCACUUCUUCAUUGCUGAAUAGAAUGUAUUUAAACAGUUGAAGAUGUUGCAGGAAGUUGGGACUAGCCUUGCAUUCCAUAUAGUAUGUUGGAUAUAAUAGGAUUUGUUGGCUUUAAAUUGGCUUAAUGUUGUACAGUUGCAUGUGUUAAACAAUGUGGGAUACAAUUGGUAAACAGGGUUUCUGCAGGUUCUGUAAAGCAGUUAAUUCAGUUUCCUCAAAAAAGCCUUAAAAGUCAUUUACAAAAGACUUUUUCAAAAUAUUUUCUCGUGCCCACCAUAGUCAGGUGGGGAAGUUAAUGAUUGUUGGCUGCUGGGAGGCUUUACACACUUUUGAAAUAAAAGUGGUAUUGUUUCAGCAGUGGAUUGUUCAAGCAGAAGGCUGUUAAAUCCUUUUUUGAGGUCCGCACCAUCAGACUGUACUAAAGACUACUAAAGGAAGCUCAUUCCAUUCACUUUAUGCUCCUAACUCGGGUCCAGGUCACAUGAGUUUAACUUAAAUAAUUGGAAAUUGUUUUAUUCUACUGGAAAAUACUUUUUUUAUUUAAUAAUAAAUAAUUAUAGGUCAUUUCAUGCUUCUGCAGGUAUGAUUGUGAAACUGGUAGUAAAUGGUGUUCUAUGUGGUAAUAAAAAAGCCCCAAAAAUAUUAAAUUUAACUUUCUGCACAUGCAGAAACCUCGAUAAAGCUUGGCCUUUAAAAAGUGAUUACAGAUGGCUGAGUUGUUGUCUUGUUAUUUAGGUUUCUGCUAACUGGAACGUCUAACUAAGGAGUUAAGUUAGAGUUCAUUCAUCGUCGAUUUGUUCUCCGUUUGUGAUGUUUGACAAACCCUCAGUGAUUUAGCUUUUUGUCUCACUGCACUACUUUGCAUUAAAUCAUGCAACUGAUUUUCAUAAGUGCUCAUUCAAAGCACCACGCUGCUUUCUCAUUCAUGUAGACACAA